GUUGUUCCACCGGAAAAGAAGGAAAACUAAAGAAAACUGACAUGUUCGAUUCCGCACUCAAAAUACGUCAGGUAAGAUCAAAAUAUUUUUGUGUUAAAAAACAACUGUAGGAAAGUAAUGAAUCAUGGUAUAUUACCGUUGCGUUGAAUCUUUAAGUUAGGGAACUAAAAACGUGGUUUAUUCCGCUACGACAAAUCAAACAAAUGUUUCGAAGUCUACAGAUAUGGUAGGAUGAGGGAAGAUGGGACACCUUUAGCACAUAAUAUCCAAUUAUCCUUAUAGUUUUUUAAACAAUUAACAAUGGUCUGUGGGAGUUGUGAGGAUACAGUUUUAUAAUUCUUUGAAUGUUAUUUGUUUACUACCAAAUGGGACAAGAAAAUAGAAAGGAUUUCCCACCUUUACCCACUUUACCGUAUAUAUUUUUACAAUGCUGAUUGGCGAAGUUAUAACAACAAUUUAAAUAUUAAAUACAGACCAAACAUGAAAAAUUUGAAUACAAAUCCAUUAGAACCUUUUAAGGUUUCAAUGUGGAAACUAAUACCCGGACGUUACGCUUCGUGUUCUCACCUCUCGUGACUUCGUCCAACUCAACAACAAGUAGUUUACCAUCUGGAACGCCUCCUUCGUAUUUUGGAUAUGACUUUGCUCUGAGAAAAACCGGUAACAAUUUAAGUUUCACAGUGGGUGCACC
Non-coding RNA from Ciona intestinalis (vase tunicate), 691 nucleotides. The record is from RefSeq and is a predicted model, not a curated record. Lineage: Eukaryota; Metazoa; Chordata; Ascidiacea; Phlebobranchia; Cionidae.